Molecule: RNase P RNA, 466 nt
Filed under: bacterium
Lineage: Bacteria
Description: RNase P RNA component class A
Rfam family: Bacterial RNase P class A
About the family: Ribonuclease P (RNase P) is a ubiquitous endoribonuclease, found in archaea, bacteria and eukarya as well as chloroplasts and mitochondria. Its best characterised activity is the generation of mature 5'-ends of tRNAs by cleaving the 5'-leader elements of precursor-tRNAs.
Source: RNAcentral
UGCUGCGGCAGGACGGCCGCUGGGCCCCUCUUCAGGGGGUCCAGAGGAAAGUCCGAGCACGGAAGAACACGAUGGUGGGUAACACCCACCCGCCCGAACGUUGGUCGCGGGCGAGGGACAGUGCCACAGAAAGCAAACCGCCGAUGGCCCGCCGAAAGGCAGGAUCAGGCAAGGGUGCAAGGGUGGGGUAAGAGCCCACCGCCCGGGUGGUGACAUCCGGGGCACGGCAAACCCCAUCGCGUGCAAGGCCAAGCAGCCCUUGAGGCCGCAUCCGUAAGGAUUCGGUCGCCGCCUGUUCGGCGGUCUUUCAAGGGCGGGUAGGCUGCUUGAGCCCCUCGGCAACGGGGGGCCUCAGAGAAAUGGCCGUCGCUCAUCGGAAGGCGUGAUUCCUCAAGCCCCCGUCAAAUGGACCGGGGAGUCACGAACCGCCGGCGACACAGAACUCGGCUUACGGCCGCAUCGACCA